Molecule: ribosomal RNA, 458 nt
Filed under: uncultured bacterium
Lineage: Bacteria
Description: SSU rRNA
Rfam family: Bacterial small subunit ribosomal RNA
Source: RNAcentral
AGAAUCAACGCUGGCGGCGUGCCUAACACAUGCAAGUCGAACGAGAAAGUGGAGCAAUCCAUGAGUAAAGAGGCGCACGGGUGAGUAACACGUGACUAACCUACCCUCGAGUGGGGAAUAACCUGGGGAAACCCGGGCUAAUACCGCAUAAUACCUACGGGUCAAAGGAGCAAUUCGCUUGAGGAGGGGGUCGCGGCAGAUUAGUUAGUUGGCAGGGUAAUGGCCUACCAAGACGAUGAUCUGUAUCCGGCCUGAGAGGGCGCACGGACACACUGGAACUGAAACACGGUCCAGACUCCUACGGGAGGCAGCAGUGGGGAAUUUUGCGCAAUGGGGGAAACCCUGACGCAGCAACGCCGCGUGGAGGAUGAAGUCCCUUGGGACGUAAACUCCUUUCGACCGGAAGAUUAUGACGGUACCGGAAGAAGAAGCCCGGCUAACUUCGUGCCAGCAGCCGC